This 358-nucleotide long non-coding RNA is filed under the name Rosa chinensis. RNAcentral describes it as "sRNA RchiOBHm_Chr5g0048761". The record is from RNAcentral. Lineage: Eukaryota; Viridiplantae; Streptophyta; Magnoliopsida; Rosales; Rosaceae.
CGUCCGCUCUCUCAGAGUCGAAGAUUUUCGACUGACCCGACCCGAACCCGGCCGAUCCGACCCGGCUUUUCCGGCCAACUGCGGCGGUCUCCGGCCGUGAAACUUGGCCAACAGGAUCGCCUCCUCCGUCUGGUCGUCCCUCUGGUGUUCUCUUACGGCGAUUCUCCGUCUCGGUGGCAGUUCAAGGCGGUGCAGCCUUGUGUUUUCGGACCCGGCCGGAAAACACAACUCCGGCGACCUCAUGACUUCAGGCUUCUUGGGUUGAGUUCAGAACAAGCUCCCUGAUCGAUCCUUGGUGUUUGUUUCGACCGGUUUACGUGAAAAUUCGAUCAACUCGGAUUGGAUUACUGUUCACGGC